ACGGAGUGGUAUACGGAGUAGCGGACGGGUGAGUAAAGCAUGAGAAUCUGUCCUGUCGAGGGGGAUAACGUUCGGAAACGGACCCUAAUACCCCAUAGUCCGAGAGGUUAAAGGCAGCGAUGCGCGGCAGGAGGAGCUCGUGUCCUAUCAGCUAGUUGGUGAGGUAACGGCUCACCAAGGCUUCGACGGGUAGCCGGCCUGAGAGGGUGACCGGCCACACUGGAACUGAGACACGGUCCAGACUCC
RNAcentral lists this ribosomal RNA (246 nucleotides) under uncultured Synergistaceae bacterium. RNAcentral's name for it is "partial 16S ribosomal RNA". It matches the Rfam family "Bacterial small subunit ribosomal RNA", at positions 77 to 339 of the family's 1533-position model. The record is from RNAcentral. Lineage: Bacteria; Thermotogati; Synergistota; Synergistia; Synergistales; Synergistaceae.